This 630-nucleotide ribosomal RNA is filed under the name uncultured bacterium. Its description in RNAcentral is "bacterial SSU rRNA". It matches the Rfam family "Bacterial small subunit ribosomal RNA", at positions 899 to 1529 of the family's 1533-position model. The record is from RNAcentral.
ACUCAAAGGAAUUGACGGGGACCCGCACAAGCGGUGGAGCAUGUGGUUUAAUUCGAAGCAACGCGAAGAACCUUACCAAGUCUUGACAUCCCGCUGCCGUAUCUGGAGACAGGUAUUUUCCUCGGAACAGCGGAGACAGGUGGUGCAUGGUUGUCGUCAGCUCGUGUCGUGAGAUGUUGGGUUAAGUCCCGCAACGAGCGCAACCCUUAUCCUCAGUAGCCAGCGGCCAGGCCGGGCACUCUGUGGAGACUGCCAGGGACAACCUGGAGGAAGGCGGGGAUGACGUCAAAUCAUCAUGCCCCUUAUGACUUGGGCGACACACGUGCUACAAUGGCGUAAACAAAGGGAUGCGAAGGGGCGACCUGGAGCGAACCCCAAAAAUAACGUCCCAGUUCGGAUUGUAGUCUGCAACCCGACUACAUGAAGCUGGAAUCGCUAGUAAUCGCGAAUCAGAAUGUCGCGGUGAAUACGUUCCCGGGUCUUGUACACACCGCCCGUCACACCAUGGGAGCCGGUAACGCCCGAAGUCGGUGACCCAACCGUAAGGAGGGAGCCGCCGAAGGCGGGACUGGUAACUGGGGUGAAGUCGUAACAAGGUAGCCGUAUCGGAAGGUGCGGUUGGAUCACCUC